This 221-nucleotide ribosomal RNA is filed under the name Clostridioides difficile. RNAcentral's name for it is "partial 16S ribosomal RNA". It matches the Rfam family "Bacterial small subunit ribosomal RNA", at positions 1 to 229 of the family's 1533-position model. The record is from RNAcentral. Lineage: Bacteria; Bacillati; Bacillota; Clostridia; Peptostreptococcales; Peptostreptococcaceae.
UUUUAUUUGAGAGUUUGAUCCUGGCUCAGGAUGAACGCUGGCGGCGUGCCUAACACAUGCAAGUUGAGCGAUUUACUUCGGUAAAGAGCGGCGGACGGGUGAGUAACGCGUGGGUAACCUACCCUGUACACACGGAUAACAUACCGAAAGGUAUGCUAAUACGGGAUAAUAUAUUUGAGAGGCAUCUCUUGAAUAUCAAAGGUGAGCCAGUACAGGAUGGA